This 253-nucleotide ribosomal RNA is filed under the name uncultured bacterium. RNAcentral describes it as "partial 16S ribosomal RNA". It matches the Rfam family "Bacterial small subunit ribosomal RNA", at positions 524 to 776 of the family's 1533-position model. The record is from RNAcentral.
UACGAACUGCGCGAACGUUAUUCGGAAUCACUGGGCUUAAAGGGUGCGUAGGCGGCCUGUUAAGUAGGGUGUGAAAUCUGUCGGCUCAACCGGCAGACUGCAUUCUAAACUGGCAGGCUUGAGUGAGUCAGGGGUGUGCGGAACUUCCGGUGGAGCGGUGAAAUGCGUUGAUAUCGGAAGGAACGCCGGUGGCGAAAGCGGCACACUGGGGCUUUUCUGACGCUGAGGCACGAAAGCGGGGGGAGCGAACAGG